This 481-nucleotide ribosomal RNA is filed under the name uncultured bacterium. Its description in RNAcentral is "partial 16S ribosomal RNA". It matches the Rfam family "Bacterial small subunit ribosomal RNA", at positions 28 to 507 of the family's 1533-position model. The record is from RNAcentral.
GUCGAACGUUGGCGGCGUGCUUAAUACAUGCAAGUCAACUGAAGCAGUGGUAGCAAUAUCGCUGUGGAGGUGGCGCACGGGUGAGUAACACGUAGGUAAUCUGCCUUCAGGUCUGGCAUAACUCCGGGAAACCGGGGCUAAUAGCAGAUGAUGCAGCGGCUCGACAUCGAGACAGUUGUUAAAGCUAUGGCGCCUGAAGAUGAGCCUGCGUCUGAUUAGCUAGUUGGCGGGGUAACGGCCCACCAAGGCAACGAUCAGUAGCUGGUCUGAGAGGAUGAUCAGCCACACUGGAACUGAGACACGGUCCAGACUCCUACGGGAGGCAGCAGUAAGGAAUAUUGCUCAAUGGGAGAAAUCCUGAAGCAGCAACGCCGCGUGAGGGACGAAGGGCUUUUGCUUGUAAACCUCUGUAGUGAGAGAAAAAAAUCCCAAUCUUUGGGACAUGAUGGUAUCUCAAAAGUAAGCCCCGGCUAACUACGUG